This 569-nucleotide ribosomal RNA is filed under the name uncultured bacterium. RNAcentral describes it as "bacterial SSU rRNA". It matches the Rfam family "Bacterial small subunit ribosomal RNA", at positions 917 to 1491 of the family's 1533-position model. The record is from RNAcentral.
GGACCCGCACAAGCGGUGGAUGAUGUGGUUUAAUUCGAUGCAACGCGAAAAACCUUACCCACCUUUGACAUGGCAGGAAGUUUCCAGAGAUGGAUUCGUGCCCGAAAGGGAACCUGCACACAGGUGCUGCAUGGCUGUCGUCAGCUCGUGUCGUGAGAUGUUGGGUUAAGUCCCGCAACGAGCGCAACCCUUGCCAUUAGUUGCUACGAAAGGGCACUCUAAUGGACUGCCGGUGACAAACCGGAGGAAGGUGGGGAUGACGUCAAGUCCUCAUGGCCCUUAUAGGUGGGGCUACACACGUCAUACAAUGGCUGGUACAGAGGGUUGCCAACCCGCGAGGGGGAGCUAAUCCCAUAAAGCCAGUCGUAGUCCGGAUCGCAGUCUGCAACUCGACUGCGUGAAGUCGGAAUCGCUAGUAAUCGCGGAUCAGAAUGUCGCGGUGAAUACGUUCCCGGGUCUUGUACACACCGCCCGUCACACCAUGGGAGCGGGUUCUGCCAGAAGUAGGUAGCCUAACCGUAAGGAGGGCGCUUACCACGGCAGGGUUCGUGACUGGGGUGAAGUCGUAA